UAUGUUGACACAAAUUUGUAAUCUGUACUUUAAAAUCUGGGACAGGAGGAUUGUGAGUUCAAAGCCAUCCUGGACUAUAAGGCACACCGGGAUGUUUGGAUUCAUUUACAACGUGCAGUGAUCACAUGCAAAAAGUAGUGAGACUGGAGGAGAGAAACCACCCCUUGCAGUUCAGCCAAGCCAGAGCUGAAUCCUCAGAGGAAUUGGGGAGAUUAACAAGAGUGCUGCUUCCAUGCUGAACCUGAUAAUCAGCACCAGGGUGAAGGCGACAGACCCUGAGGAUACUUAACACCCAC
Long non-coding RNA from Jaculus jaculus (lesser Egyptian jerboa), 296 nucleotides. RefSeq lists it as uncharacterized. The record is from RefSeq and is a predicted model, not a curated record. Lineage: Eukaryota; Metazoa; Chordata; Mammalia; Rodentia; Dipodidae. The transcript has 3 exons.